GCAUACUUAGCAAUCCUGGAUUUGUAAAUAGGCCGUGUAGGCCGCGGCCUAGGGCGGCAGAUUUCAGAGGACGCUCACUCGAUUAAAUUAAUCAUUCGUUUAUUUAACUUAAGGCGAAUCCGUUCAUGGCUCCGCCGCAAUUUUUUCGCUAGAUGGCAUUGAAGUCACAAAAAGUCACAUUUUUUAUAAUUACGUCCAAAAUACUUUGUUUCUAGAAUUUUUUUUGCUAUAUGCUAGAGGUAUAUACUAUGCUACAAUUUAUCUAUAUAUUUAUUUUGCUUCAUCAUAACGAAUAUCUGAGAAUAGUACCGUUUAAGUUAGCUGAAGCAGAAAGAUCGGUAUUUCGUGUACAUAUACGCACGCACACAUAUCGAAAGUAAUUUUUAUAUAGGACCACUAGAUGGUACUAAUGCAGAAAACAUAUUUCAAGGUCUCGAAAAAUUGAACGUAAUCUCUCGUAUCGCAUCUUUGUUGGUGCAUACUUAUAAUGGAUGACGAAAAAUUGGGAAUAAAUAAAUUAAAAUACUGUAUUUUAUAGCUUGGCAAAAAAGUGUAGAAAUGGAACUAAUCCUUUAUUUUACCUGGCAACAUUAUCACAUUUUUGACGUUUGUGAAGUUUUAUAAAUAGUGUCGGUGUUGUCUUUUAUUAAAAUUUUGCAAUAAGAACAAGAAGAUACUAUUCGCGAUACAAAAUGAAUAAGCCGCGAAUAAUAAGGUUCGCGAGAGAAAUUAUAUAUAAAACUUUUACCGACCAUGUCUAGCUGAACAAGAAGCAAAAACAAUUCUAUCGGAUCUGGAAGCAUAUGUGAGUGCUUUCAAGACAUAACCGAAGAUGAUUGGAAAAUCUCAUGUCAACAUGUAAGAAAAAUUUAAAAUGACUAUUACAAGAGAGAACAUACCCUGUAAGAGGACAUUGAAAGAAUUAUAAUAAAUCUUAAAGAUGACAGUAGUAGUUCUUCAGAAUCACAGGAUGACUGUCCAGCCAGCUCCAGUCAUGAAAAUAUGGACAUUGAUUUUACUGAAAUACAAUAUUUGGAAGAAAGUUUUUGGUUUUAUUUGUUUUUAAGUAAAAUGCCACAAUUCUGAAAUGAUUUCUCAAACUUAAAACAUGACAUACUCUAAUUAAAUUUGAAUACAAUGGCAAAUGAUUUACCAGUUUAUAGUUUUAUAUUUUUAUUAUAGAUAACAAAUCACAUUUGUCUGGCUAAUUUUACAAAAGUAACACUAUGUACAAAUUAUAUUAUAAAUUACGAAUGGAAAGAGUAGUAAAUUUUUCCUUUUCUCAUAGUUUCCAAAUACAUGCGGUGGCCGAAUCUGAAAAUCAUCAGCCAUGGAACUAGGCUGACCAUUGCUCUACGUACAAUAAUUUAUUGCACAGUAGUUCUUCAGUAACCUUGGUUUCAAAAUAUUUCAUCCAUAGUGUGGAAGCUUUGUAUUAGCUAAAAUCUGAAAUAACAAUGGUGCCAAAUUUCAUCACACAUGCUGCAUUAAAAUGUGGAAACACUAUGGAAACCCUUUUGUUUUUCACUGGCAUAUUGAAUUUGGAAACAAUAACCCGAGUAUGUUUUGGCACAUUAAAUGCCCACUGAAGUUCGUGCUUCGAGUCCACAAUCAGUUAUCCAAUUACCAAUUGCAGGUUGUUACUAGAAAUCAUUUCCACAGGUAGUAGAUAGGCAUCGGUAUCCGGUUGGGAUCAAUUGGUUAGUUCUGGUUCCAACGCAGCUUCAGUUGUGCUAGCACUGACGGUGCAUGACGGAGCUUCAUACAGAUAUUUUGGUAUAGCACGUGUAUACGUGUACAUCAAAGGUGUACAUACACCGAGACCACCAUUAUGUUGUCUUGUAUCGAAUCCUAAAGGCUGAACUAAACUCCUUGCAAAUGUGAUAACGAAAAUUAGCGUCGUCGAUAAAUUCAAACAAAACAUGAAACAGAAAAUCAUAAGUAUUGAUGGACUAAACACAAAUUCGACCUCACACCCACCACAUAAGGUUGUUUUUUAAUCGCGAGUAACGUCAUGUUUUUGUAAAAGCCUGGAAUGCAAUGGCCGUCACAAGUCACGGAGGUGGUUGUAAUGUACUGUUCUUAUAAUGAAAAAGCGGCUAUUCAAUUUGGCCGUAUAUAAUACGACCGUCGAGUGAAAUUUUAUUUUAUUUGAUUUAUUGUUGUAAAACAGACUUUGGUAUGAGGUAUUUAUAUAAAAAAAAAUAUCUUCCUGAGUUACGCUACGGCGAUUGGAAUUUAAGUUUUUACAAAUGAAAUAUUUAUUUAUAAUAGAUGAUUACUGUAUAAAAUCGAAACAAACAUAGACUAAUAUAUAAUACUGGAAGAUACAAACACUGAAAUGAAAAAUACAAUUAAAUAUAUCGGUAAUAUGAUUAUAUAAACUUCUGUCAACAGAAUUAAUUGCUGAUAUGUUGUUAACUCCUGUCGUCCAAUUAUUCUUUAUUUAAUUGAAAGCUCCAUAGAUGUUAUUUUUAUUAUGUAUUGUUUAUUUUUUUAUCUUUGAAAUAUUGUCUAUUUACGUAUUUUAUCGCGGUGAUAUAUAUUAUUAUUUACUCCCAAUAUAAGUACAUAUAGCAUUAGGGAGAAAAUAAUAUAAAUCACCACGAUAAAAUCCGUAAAUAGUUUUAUUUGAAAAGUUACUGUAUAAAAUACGAUUUUAAAGCACCUAUCCCGAGGGAGAAGUUAAUAAAUAGAAACAAAAUCAUAACUUUUAUUGAAAAAACUAUAUAUUAUAUUCUUUUAUCGAUCGUCACAUUUACAAAUUACAUUAUAUUAAAUACAGGUAAAAUUCUCAGGCGAUCUUAUUUAUAAUUUUAAAUCUAAAAUUUUGCACAGGCAAAACCGCGUGCAAUAGUAGUGACAUUAACGUAAUGUGAUGAAACUUACUUUUUACCUUAGACCCAACAGGGUAUUGAGCUGGCAACGUCCCAUAGGUUCACUUCACGACCUUGACGACGGUCAAUAGGAAGAGCGGCAACGUCGGUUGUAAUAUGUCAAAUCAUAAAUAAGGCUUCUAUCAAAUACUCAUAACAAUGGAGAUACACGAGUGUACUUUGUUUACCGUUGUUUACUUUUCUUGACGUAAGUGAAGACGCUAUUUCAAGAAAUUUGAAGUGCUAAUUCAUUAAAAUAUGUACGCUUUCAUGACUGUGCCUCAACUUAAAGUUGAGGUUCGUAAAAGAAAUGCGUCAAUUGCCGGAAAAAAAGGCUAAUUUGAUAGAAAGAUUGCAAUCUAAUGACCGGAAUAAAAAUUUUGGUGUUGACUGCGAGAUCCAAGAGGAGAUCGCAUAUCUGAGUCCAGCCACUGAUACUUUCAGAGACAUAAUUGCGGACACUUCUUUACCAAUGAUUACGAGACAAGCAAUACAGGAAUAUUUUGAAAGUUAUGUACCCAUAUGUAAUGAUUAUAAUCUUAGGCAGUUGUUUACAAAGAUGACAGUGUAAAUUUUAUGUAUUUAAAUUGGUAUACCUACACUCAUAUAUCAUGAUAUCUUGAUAACAUUAUAUUAUAUUUUCUUACUACAUUAUUGUUUUUUUGCAGAUAUAAUACUCAGCAUAAAGGACAACUCCUGUACGAAUUUCGACAUCUUGUGACUGCCCGCUAUUCCACAGAUGGCAUUUAUACCCACUGCGAGGACAAUGUAAAGCCAGUAUGAAAAAAUGGUAUACUUUGUGGAUAUAAAAUUAAGUAAAGAUGGAGUAAUUGAAGAAUGCCAUUGCGAUUGUGCUGCAGGCAGUGGUACUCAAGCAUGUUGCAAACAUGUCUCUGUAUUGUUGGAUGACAUGUGAACCCGCAAAUCCACAUGGCAUUGAAUGGGAUCGUUACACCUAUGUAGAUAGGACUCCAAUAGAUAUUUUACUAGAGAAGCUAUUAUUAAAAAAUAUUAUAUCUGAACAAAUUCAGGAAGUGAGAAGAAUACAAGAGCCCAAAGUGAUUCCUCUGAGUGGCAUGAAAGAUCAUGCAGGAUUACUGCCAGUAUGUUUCAUUUAGUGUGCCACAGUAAAGCAUAUAAGUACCAAAAAUAUAUGUAAUCGAUAUGAUUUUUGGCCCCCAAAGCUGUGCAGACUAUGUUAGUUGUGCAUAGUAAAAUCCAAGAAACUAUUUCCAUUGCCAAAUAUGAUAGAGAUUAUGGACUAAAAAUAAAAAAAGUGGAUUCAUUAUAUCAUUUGAAUAUCCUUUUCUGGCUGUUUCUCCAGACGGUAUAUUGGGUAAAGAUACUAUUGUUGAGGUUAAGUGUCCAUAUGCUGCUAGAUAUUAUAAAAUAACCUCUGUGACUG
This is a long non-coding RNA of Manduca sexta (tobacco hornworm), 4281 nucleotides long. RefSeq lists it as uncharacterized. The record is from RefSeq and is a predicted model, not a curated record. The transcript has 5 exons. Lineage: Eukaryota; Metazoa; Arthropoda; Insecta; Lepidoptera; Sphingidae.